AUUAAACGCUGGCGGCAUGCCUUACACAUGCAAGUCGAACGGUAGCGCGGGGCUACCUGGCGACGAGUGGCGAACGGGUGAGUAAAGCAUCGGAACGUGCCCUGGAAUGGGGGAUAACGUAGCGAAAGUUACGCUAAUACCGCAUAUUCUGUGAGCAGGAAAGCAGGGAAUCGCAAGACCUUGCGUUCUGGGAGCGGCCGAUGUCGGAUUAGCUAGUUGGUGGGGUAAAAGCCUACCAAGGCGACGAUCCGUAGCGGGUCUGAGAGGAUGAUCCGCCACACUGGGACUGAGACACGGCCCAGACUCCUACGGGAGGCAGCAGUGGGGAAUUUUGGACAAUGGGCGGAAGCCUGAUCCAGCCAUGCCGCGUGAGUGAAGAAGGCCUUGG
This 388-nucleotide ribosomal RNA is filed under the name uncultured bacterium. Its description in RNAcentral is "bacterial SSU rRNA". It matches the Rfam family "Bacterial small subunit ribosomal RNA", at positions 29 to 420 of the family's 1533-position model. The record is from RNAcentral.